GCACAGGAGCCACCUUGCGCCGCCUCACC
This 29-nucleotide small RNA is filed under the name Bombyx mori (domestic silkworm). RNAcentral describes it as "ovarian small RNA-2725". The record is from RNAcentral. Lineage: Eukaryota; Metazoa; Arthropoda; Insecta; Lepidoptera; Bombycidae.